This is a non-coding RNA of Microcebus murinus (gray mouse lemur), 6761 nucleotides long. The record is from RefSeq and is a predicted model, not a curated record. NCBI's taxonomy places the organism in Eukaryota, Metazoa, Chordata, Mammalia, Primates, Cheirogaleidae.
UGCAGUGGGAGGGAGCAGCACGGGAGGAGCCAGGGCGUCUCACAGGCACCUGCGGCCAUGGAGGGCUGUGGCGUGUGCUCUGUGAGCUGCGUCCCACAGGAAGGGCUUGCCAGACACCCUUUCUCCUCUGGCUCACCCUGCUCCCCACAGGCAGUGCCCCCGAAGUGACAGUGAGAUCACGUUGCCCUCUGUUUACGGUGCCCAAGGCUCCGCGGCCCAGGCCCGGCCCACCUCGCAGCCUCGCCCCACUGUCCUGGCCACAGGGCUCCUCACCCACGCUCUGGUUCUGGCUUCCUGGAACGCCCUUCCUUCCCUUUUCUGACUUGUGGACACCCGUGUGACCUUCAGGCUUUGCUCAAAUGCCCCUCACGUCUGCUGGACUGUGAUUAAGCACUGGAGGUCAGGGACCCGUCUGGUCCACGCGUGUGCCCCACUGUCCAGCCUGGUGCCUCGGCCGUGGGCGGGGCUGGGUGGGAACCCCCGCUUUGCCUGCAGAGCUGCUGCCUUGGAACCGCUGUUGGCUGGCCACGAGCCUGGCUCGGUGUGAGCUUCUGCACCAGGGGAGCCGCCCAGUCAUGUUCCUCCUGGCCUGUCCUGGCCCGGCCUGCACAGAGCAGGCGCUCACCAGAUGAGGGACGACCAACGAUUGAAGGCAACUGACCUGCCAUGGAAAGUGCUGUGUGCGCAGCCAACGCUCUACAAGAAGAGACAGGACGGCGUGGAGGCGCUGGGUGCGUGGGGGUCAGUCCCAGGCAGAGCGCACGGGCUCAGCCCAGAUCUCUGCGCAGGAGUCGGGGAGCACACCCAGAUAUACUGGGCAAAAUGGAAAUGCGUCUCUUGGGAACAGCACGUGAGCUGCUUGAAGGAGUCGAUGGGCUGAGGCGUGCAGUGUCGGUUUGAGGUGCCAAGUGUGGGAUGUGUCUCAACGCCACAGCCAGCUCCCGUGAUGGGCAUCACUGUUUGUGGCCAGGGGAUGGAUAAUCAAUACCUGAUGAAGAAACUGAGGGUCAGAGAGGCCAAGUGAUUUGGACCAGGGCAACAGCUGACAAGUGGAAAGGCCAGGACCAGGGCCCAGGAGUUCUGAUGCUAAGUGCAGUGCCUUACCUGCCACACCUCGGCUGCCAGCCCUCCCGACUCACCUCCCGCCAGAGAAGCAAGUCUUUGGCCAAGUUCAGAGUGAGGGGUUAGAGAGAUGGAGGCAGAGGAAGGGAGACCCACCCAGAGUCCUGGGAGGCGGGGCGGGGCAUUCCUGGAGAAUGCAGAGGGCCCUGCUGGUGGGGAACCAAGCAACAGAGGGAGGAGGCCCAUGCUUGGAGCCGGCAACGGUGAGGAAGUGGGGUCCCGGACUCCCCAGACUGUCCUUCCUGAGAGUGGGGCCGAGCACGUGGCCGGAGCAGCCGUGCAGCCCCCACCCCACGCGGCACGGGGCGAGUGGGCUCCGCACGGGCAUGCGCGGGAGGCCUGUUUGGCUGUGCGUGCUUGGGUGGGAGAGCGGCUCCCUUUUCGCCAAAUGACAAUGUUUUCUGUGUGCCUAGCGCCUCUGCUCCGGUCACCAGCUUAUCAGGAGUCCCAGGUCGGCCCUUCUGGCAGUUUGGGUGGUUCCAACAAACAGCUCAGGUCUCCAGCCCACAGGGACCGCUGGGCGGGCAGUGGUCACGCCGCACUCUUCCUGGAGCUGCUGGCGCUCGCCUCUGCCCUUCUGCACCAGCUCGGCUCUCCAGGGCGUCUGUCCUCAUGGGGGCCUUCCUGCAGGAAGGUGCCCAGAGGGGAGAGCUGACUGCGUGGCACUUUGUCCUGCUCCGGGCGGGCCGCAGGGAGCAGCCAUGGGUUUAUUCGCCAGAGGCGGAGAUGCGGGAGCACCGGGGAGGGAGAGGCCCCGCUUGGUCCUGGGUGGGAGCCCCUGCUGUUCCUCCUUGCAUCGCCAAGCACUUCCUCUGUGCCACGCCUGGGGCUGAUCCCAGAGAGUCCAGGCCGCCUAAGCCGUGGCCUCUGACCCCAGAGAGCCCGCGGGCCCUGCUGUGGACACUCAGCUGCUUCCCAGCACUCCCAGAGCCCCCACUAACAGCCGGUCAGUGCCUGGCUCUGAGGAAAGUCUCCUCCUCAUUUGGCAGACAAGGAAGCUGAGGCUCAGAGAGUGUGAGCAACUUGCCCAAAGUCACACAGCUACAUGCACGGUCUGCAGCAUCCUCCCUUUAAGAAGCCAGGCGCGCCCCGCCCCCGCCCCCGUUUCCCCACCAGCCAGCUGAUCCGGAGACUGUAGCAGGCAGCGCCCUGUCCUGUGUGUCAGUUACACAUUCCCAGAGAGCCGCCAGAGUCCCCAGGCUGCGCGGAGCUCCAGACACCAGCGGCAUGGCCUUGAAGGAAGGGGCUGGCGACCUCCCGCCCAGGCACUCUCAUGCCCCGACUUUCUGUGCUGAUGUGGGCAUGCUGAUCUAUCAACCAGAAUAUGAGACUAGCUGGGGAAAUGCCACUCCUUGCCCAUGUUAGCAGCGUAAGUACAAUUCUACUUAACUCACCAUCUCUCGAAUGGUGCUGCUGGCCUGCUGCAUUUGUGCAGUGUCUGCAUCUGCACACAGACCCCGACCCAAGCCUUCCGCCCUGCAGCGAUGGCCUUCCUGCUCCCCUAGGUCUGCGGCUCACAGCCUCUACCUCCAAGUGCCAUUUCCUUGCUGGGAGCCUCGUGCCCGGCAGGGCAUGUCUGGCGCAAGGCAGACGGCUGGGCCCUCCAGCACCUUCCUCUGCUGGUCUGAGGAGUCCAUCCAGGGGGCUCCUGGUGGGAGCGCUGAGGCUGUGGGCUCAGUCAGCAACCCGGGCAGAGCCCUAGAGCCCGGCGGGAGCUCAGUUACAGUUCUAAAGCUUUCCUUUCCUCAGUCUUCUGUCAGACGGGAAAGGCAGGGCUGCAGCUGCACAGGGCAGCAAGAGCAGUGUGGGGACUGGGCAGGCUUACAGGCUAAGGAGCCUCGUUUGGGGACUGAGGGUGCCCAGGAAGGGAAGGCAGAGCUGCACACUGAGCAGGUCCCAGCUCAGCCCGUCCCAGGUCCUGUUUGUGUGCUGCACACCUACAGAGCCUUUUCAUCCAGGCAGUGAGUAGCAGACCGGGAGUUCAGUGCAGGCCGUCCAGCUCCAAGCUCUGCGCUCUCUAGAACAGGACAGGACGCACAGGGAAGGAGACGCUGCCCACUCAUCUAUGACAAGUCCAUUAAUUUGCACAGAUUCCACUCAGGCUUCACACCUUACCCAAACCUUCCUGAAAGCCUGCUCUUGCCAACGCCCCAGCACGACUGGGCCCUGCUCUCCCCUGCCUGCCUUCAUCUCCUGUUCCUGCUUACAUUCUCAGUUCAAGCCCCAUCCCGCUGUGAGCUCCCCAAAGGCAGGUCUAUGCCUGGGGUGGGCCAGACUGGGGCUGCAUCCUUAAAUGCCAGUGAUAUAAAUGCACUGAGGGGCCGAGGGGAGCAGGGCAAAGGGGGCCAGGUGGGCCAGAUCCCACCAAAGGGAGCAGCCGCUACACAAUUGUUGCCAAGCAGACAAACAGGACUCAGGUUGGCAGGUCUUUGCCAGAGAAGCCAGAAAUCAGAUUUUUUUUUAUAUACAAAAACCUCCAUAAUCUUAAAUGUUGGCAACAAAUGUAAAAGACUCUACAGAUGCGCUGAGAGGGAACCAGGCCUGCCAGUUGCUACUUGUGAACCUGGGUUCAGCCAUUGCGACGGUCUCUGUCCACUUGCAAAGUCUCUCCCUCGCUGGCAGGCCUCGCUCUGCCUGGCGUGGAGCAUGCAUUCGGCCCAUCUUGUUGGAGCUACACAUGUCAGGGAAGCACAGCCCAGCCCCUCCUGUGGGUGACCCAGGGACCUGUCCUGGGUCGUGCCCACAGCCCCUCCUCCACAGCCCAGCAGGAUGAGGCGGAUGCUGUCAGAAGAAGCCACCCCUGCUGGGCAGGCACACCCCAGAGGGACAGAGAUUCAGUUAAGGCCUGGUUCACAGGAGUGCUAAAAACCUCCCUCCAGAGAACCAUCUUCUGCUAUGGAUUUUUAAGACCAGCGGCUGGAGAAUCACUCCCUGUUUUUCACUUUUGGUGCUGUGUCUCUAGUCAAUAAACAAAUGGGAAAUAAAGGAUUUGCAAGAAAAUAGAAUGCAGUCAAAAGGUAAAUUGUGGGCUUUAGAGCCCCUAAGAGCCUGGCACAGACUUGGAAAAGUUCCCUAGCUGGACGCCAUUUCCUCCCUGGGCCUGGCUCCUGGCCCGCCGCCCCUCUGCCGGUGACCUUCAGCCCUGACUUCCCUCGGGUGCGUUUCGCUGGUGUGGGGACUAAACAGGCUGUUGCAUUACAGUAGCAACACCAGCAUUUCACCUGCCUUCACCAUAAUUAUCUUUCCGUCUUGUCAGUGGAACCUGUUUAAUAAGAUUUAUAGUUGGUGGGAGCUGGAGUGAGCCUGUGUGUGGCUCAGAUAAUUGGCCAAGCUGAUUUCCCCUCAUUGGGUGUCACCAAUAUAAAAACAUGAACUAAAAGCACUAUAGCACUUAAGUAAUAAUAAUGUCAACAUUUCACCUGUCUGCCCCUUAAUUAUUUUCCUCCUUCACUCUUGCCACCUGAGCCUGCUUCGAUAAGAUAGCCACACAGAUAAAACCAAGGGCUCUCAUUAUCUUAGGCAGAUAAGCUGUUGUCUUUUCUGUGGUUCCAUUUGGAAAGGAGCUUUGCUGGCAGAAAGGCGUUCCCUUAGAUCUUCCUUGGGGGGGUGUAAGAACCAUGGAUCCUGGGUGGACCAAAGGCAAAGGGGAAGGAAGGCAGGCACUGCACAAGUGCACGUGGGCACUGUGUGGGUACAUGGCCUGGAAGACAGGUGGCACCAGAUGCUGGAAGCAGAGGAAGGACCAUCUCUGUACACCUGCUCUUCCUCCAGGUGCUCCUAGGCAGGGGUGAAUGGGGUUUCAUAGGUUUAGGGGGAGGGGUUCUGAUUAUAUGUUCCACUAGGCAAGGCCCUAGUUUGGUAUAAAAGCACCCGGGUAGUCCUAGCUUCACACUUUAUAGCUAGUUAGCUUAGUGGCCACAGGGAAGUAGCCCAACUCUUCUGGGCCAUAGUUUUCUAAAAACAAAGAGGUGGGCUGCUAUGGACAGAACGUUAGCAUCCCUGACACCCCACAAAUUCAUAUGUUGAAACCCUAACCUGCAAUGUGAUAUUUUGAGGUGGGGCCUUUAGGAGGUAAUUAGGGUUAGGUUAGGUCAUAAGGUUGGUACCCUUCUGAUGGAAUUAGCGACCUUAUUAAAAGAGGAAGAGACGGGAGACACCUCUCCCUCCCUCUCUUUCCCCCUCUCUCUCUCUGUACCAAGGAAAAGCGGUGUGAAGACUUAAGCAGGAAGUGGGCUCACACCAGAAUCCAGCCACGCUGAGGGCACCCUGAUCUCAGACUUCCAGCCUCCAGAACUGCUCAUUCCUGCUUUCGCCGCCACCGGCUGCAGCUCCCCUGAUGUGCGCCACUCCUGAGAAAGCCGCGCCGCCACGCCACCCAGUGUGUCUGCCCCGCCCGGCUGGGCUUGCUUUCUCAUUCCUUUCAUCGCAAGCCAGAGGAGGCUCAAAGGAGGUUUCUGAGACCGGCCCCAGGUUCCCGCCGCCCCUCCAGAAGUUGAGCUGAGCUUGGUAAGUGGCCACCAGCUGCCGCGUGUGGACCCAUGUGCCUGGUGUGUUUGGCCAUGUAGAUCUGCAGACAGCCUGACACACUCUCAAGGAUCCCGUCUCUGAGCCGCCGUGCGCCCAUCCACUGGCAAGCUGCACAACCCAGCUGCUGGCCCGGUUGUCGAGCCUUCACAACACUUGCUGCUGGGUGGCCCUGCUCCACCCACGCCCACGCCUGGCAGACUCCUACAUGAGUGGCUAUGAGCUGCUGCCAGGAGCCCUUUGCAUCUCCUGCGCCUCAGUUUCUCAUCUGGGGCAACAAUCCCUGUCCCAGAACAGCGUCAGAAACAGCUGAGGUUAUGUGUGUGCAAGAGCUUUGAGAGCUGCUGUAAACCGCUUUGCAAAUGUGAGCUCUUAUUACUUGUGUGCAAGGCCUGGUUCCCAGCUGCCCUGACCCUCAGCAACACCUGCCAGAGGAGAGAGCCUGCCAGGCUGGACUCUGUGUCAGAAGUAGGCAGUGCAAGAGGUCACCGAGCCCAUUUCCCUGCCUUCAGGCAGGAUGUUCCAGGGUCCUGGACUCCUGGGAAGGCAAGAUGAAGACAGACCAAGGGAAAAGAUAUGGCAUGGAAUAAGGACCUAAAAUGAACUUUCCUAGGAGUGACCCAAGAGCUGGGAUUCCCAGGGGGCAGCAAGGGGUGGGGAAGGCACCAGGGUCACUGGUGGCCCCAUGGAAACUUGGACCACAGAGAAUCCACUCCAGGCUGCUGCUACAGGGGCGUGGACAGACAGGGCUUGUCAGCACUCCAGGAAGGCUAGCUCAGAAGGAAGGUCCCAUGGACUGUGCCACACUCCCCUGGCCUAGAUAGUACGCGCACAGAGUGUUUUCCCAUUGAAUAAACAAGCACUAGGAGCCCUUAUUAGCUUCACGAGGUGCAGACACACCUGAGCAGGACAGAGGCAUAGUCAGUUGGUCUUUGGCUUUCUGAUUUCCCAGGCCAGGAGCCUUUGCUUGUCGCCUUUGCAUGGGGUGGUAUGGACACCAUGGGAAGAGGAGUAGCUGGAGCCUUGUGGGAUGAAGUCCAGCCGGGGGUUCUCCCCAGUCUGGCUGGAGGGACCCUCCUGGAGCUGAGCCCUUGGUGCCCCCACGAGCAGCUGGC